GGCACCACGAAGACUAUACUGUCUCCCCCCUACGAUCAAUGAAACUGAUCUCCCCGUGAAGAAGCGGGGAUAAACUUAUAAGACGAGAAGACCCCAUGGAGCUUAAAACUCAGUAUCACUUAUUCUCUACUACCUCAUAAUAACCCAAUAUGCAUGACUACUAGUUUUUGGUUGGGGUGACCGCGGAGUAAAACUCAACCUCCACAAUGAACGGAACUAAAUUCCUAAUUCUAGAUUUACACCUCAAAAAAUUAAAAUAUUAACAUAACUUGACCCAAGCUAUUGAUCAACGAACCAAGUUACCCUGGGGAUAACAGCGCAAUCCAUUUUAAGAGCCCCUAUCGACAAAUGGGUUUACGACCUCGAUGUUGGAUCAGGGUAUCCUAGUGGUGCAGCCGCUACUAAAGGUUCGUUUGUUCAACGAUUAAAACCCUACG
This 437-nucleotide ribosomal RNA is filed under the name Astylosternus batesi (Benito River night frog). RNAcentral describes it as "partial 16S ribosomal RNA". It matches the Rfam family "Bacterial large subunit ribosomal RNA", at positions 1998 to 2600 of the family's 2925-position model. Lineage: Eukaryota; Metazoa; Chordata; Amphibia; Anura; Arthroleptidae. The record is from RNAcentral.